Molecule: ribosomal RNA, 305 nt
Filed under: uncultured bacterium
Lineage: Bacteria
Description: bacterial SSU rRNA
Rfam family: Bacterial small subunit ribosomal RNA
Source: RNAcentral
AAGUACCUACGGGGCGCAGCAGUGGGGGAUAUUGGACAAUGGGGGAAACCCUGAUCCAGCGAUGCCGCGUGAGGGAAGAAGGUUUUCGGAUUGUAAACCUCUGUGGACAGGGACGAUAAUGACGGUACCUGUCAAGAAAGCCACGGCUAACUACGUGCCAGCAGCCGCGGUAAUACGUAGGUGGCGAGCGUUGUCCGGAAUUAUUGGGUGUAAAGGGUGCGUAGACGGGAAUACAAGUUGGUUGUGAAAUCCCUUGGCUUAACUGAGGAACUGCAACCAAAACUAUAUUUCUUGAGUACUGGAGA